UACGUAGGGUGCGAGCGUUAAUCGGAAUUACUGGGCGUAAAGCGCGUGUAGGCUGCUCGGAAAGUCGGAUGUGAAAGCCCUGGGCUUAACCUAGGAAGUGCAUUCGAAACUUCCGAGCUGGAGUUCUGGAGAGGAAGGCGGAAUUCUCGGUGUAGAGGUGAAAUUCGUAGAUAUCGAGAGGAACACCGGUGGCGAAGGCGGCCUUCUGGACAGUGACUGACGCUGAGACGCGAAAGCGUGGGGAGCAAACAGG
Molecule: ribosomal RNA, 253 nt
Filed under: uncultured bacterium
Lineage: Bacteria
Description: partial 16S ribosomal RNA
Rfam family: Bacterial small subunit ribosomal RNA
Source: RNAcentral